RNAcentral lists this ribosomal RNA (459 nucleotides) under uncultured bacterium. RNAcentral's name for it is "partial 16S ribosomal RNA". It matches the Rfam family "Bacterial small subunit ribosomal RNA", at positions 338 to 795 of the family's 1533-position model. The record is from RNAcentral.
CCUACGGGUGGCAGCAGUAGGGAAUCUUUCACAAUGGGCGAAAGCCUGAUGGAGCAACGCCGCGUGAAGGUCAGUGCCCUAUGGGCGUUAAACUUCUUUUGUGCGGGAGCAAUAAUGGUCACGUGUGGCCAGACGAGAGUACCGUACGAAUAAGCAUCGGCUAACUCCGUGCCAGCAGCCGCGGUAAUACGGGGGAUGCAAGCGUUAUCCGGAUUUAUUGGGUUUAGAGGGAGCGUAGGUGGAUUGUUAAGUCAGUUGUGAAAGUUUGCGGCUCAACCGUAAAAUUGCAGUUGAAACUGGCAGUCUUGAGUACAGUAGAGGUGGGCGGAAUUCGUGGUGUAGCGGUGAAAUGCUUAGAUAUCACGAAGAACUCCGAUUGCGAAGGCAGCUCACUGGACUGCAACUGACACUGAGGCUCGAAAGUGUGGGUAUCAAACAGGAUUAGAUACCCGGGUAGUC